RNAcentral lists this unclassified non-coding RNA (413 nucleotides) under soil metagenome. Its description in RNAcentral is "partial contains 5.8S ribosomal RNA, internal transcribed spacer 2, and large subunit ribosomal RNA". The stretch from base 1 to 120 matches the Rfam family "5.8S ribosomal RNA", at positions 35 to 154 of the family's 154-position model. The record is from RNAcentral.
GAUGAAGAACGCAGCGAAAUGCGAUAAGUAAUGUGAAUUGCAGAAUUCAGUGAAUCAUCGAAUCUUUGAACGCACCUUGCGCUCUUUGGUAUUCCGAAGAGCAUGCCUGUUUGAGUGUCAUGAAAAUAUCAACCUUGACUUGGGUUUUGUGCUCUAGUCUCGGCUUGGAAUUGGGUGCUUGCCGCUUUUACGAGCGGCUCACCUUAAAUGUAUUAGCUGGAUCUGUCUUUGAGACUUGGUUUGACUUGGCGUAAUAAGUAUUUCGCUAAGGACAUUCUUCGGAGUGGCCUCGUUUCUAGGACGCUUGUCCGCUUUCCAAUACAAGUUCCACCUCGUGGACAUGACUUUUUAUUAUCUGGCCUCAACUCAGGUAGGACUACCCGCUGACCUUAAGCAUAUCAAUAAGCGGAGGA